CUACGGGAGGCAGCAGUCGGGAAUUUUGGGCAAUGGGCGAAAGCCUGAUCCAGCCAUUCCGCGUGCAGGAUGAAGGCCCUCGGGUUGUAAACUGCUUUUGUACAGAACGAAAAAGCUCCGGCUAAUACCUGGAGUCCAUGACGGUACUGUAAGAAUAAGCACCGGCUAACUACGUGCCAGCAGCCGCGGUAAUACGUAGGGUGCAAGCGUUAAUCGGAAUUACUGGGCGUAAAGCGUGCGCAGGCGGUUUUGUAAGACAGAGGUGAAAUCCCCGGGCUCAACCUGGGAACUGCCUUUGUGACUGCAAGGCUGGAGUGCGGCAGAGGGGAAUGGAAUUCCGCGUGUAGCAGUGAAAUGCGUAGAUAUGCGGAGGAACACCGAUGGCGAAGGCAAUCCCCUGGGCCUGCACUGACGCUCAUGCACGAAAGCGUGGGGAGCAAACAGGAUUAGAUACCCCUGUAGUCC
RNAcentral lists this ribosomal RNA (465 nucleotides) under uncultured bacterium. Its description in RNAcentral is "bacterial SSU rRNA". It matches the Rfam family "Bacterial small subunit ribosomal RNA", at positions 339 to 796 of the family's 1533-position model. The record is from RNAcentral.